Sorghum bicolor (sorghum) is the source of this 94-nucleotide microRNA precursor. It matches the Rfam family "MIR5387 microRNA precursor family". Lineage: Eukaryota; Viridiplantae; Streptophyta; Magnoliopsida; Poales; Poaceae. The record is from Rfam.
UUGUAACACGGGCCGGUGCUAAAGGGGCCUUCCCAAUGGCUACUGACAGGUGUUGUCGGGACAGGGACCCUUUAGCACCGGUUCUUGUUACCAA